UCAGCUUUAGCCCAAUAGGUAGUGCGUCAGUCUCACAAGCUGAAGGUCCUGAGUUCAAUCCUCAGAAGGAGGG
Monodelphis domestica (gray short-tailed opossum) is the source of this 73-nucleotide non-coding RNA. The record is from Rfam. Lineage: Eukaryota; Metazoa; Chordata; Mammalia; Didelphimorphia; Didelphidae.